Molecule: long non-coding RNA, 693 nt
Filed under: Drosophila guanche
Lineage: Eukaryota; Metazoa; Arthropoda; Insecta; Diptera; Drosophilidae
Source: RNAcentral
CAUAAAGUGAUCUUUCUCGGUUAUAAAUGCACUGACAAAGGAAUCUUGCCAGAUGACAAGAAAUAUGACGUCAUCAAAAACUAUCCAGAGCGCUAGACGAUUCGUAGCAUUUAGCAAUUAUUACAGGCGUUUUAUUAAAAACUUCGGCGACUAUUCCCGGCACAUAACUAAAUUAUGUAAAAAGAAUGUUCCAUUUGAGUAGUCAGAUGAAUGUCAAAAUGCAUUCCAAUACUUGAAAGAUAAACUAAUCGAGCCCACUCUGUUACAAUACCCAGAUUUUGAAAAAGAAUUUUGCAUAAUUACAGAUGCUAGUAAACAAGCAUGUGGUGCGGUUUUAACUCAAAACCAUAAUGGACUCCAUCUUCCAAUAGCAUAUGCAUCACGUUCAUUCAAAGGGUAAGAGCAAAAAAAGCACAACCGAACAGGAAUUGGCAGCAAUUCAUUAGGCAAUUACUCAUUUUCGACCAUAUAUUUAUGGAAAAAACUUCACAGUGAAAACGGAUCACAGACCACUAACAUACCUAUUUUCAAUGGUCAAUCCUAGCUCAAAACUGACACGCAUGCGGCUUGAAUUCGAAGAAUACGACUUUACAGUCGAGUACACAAAAGGAAUUAAAAAACAUAAACAUAUAUUGAAGACAAGUAGACAAAAAUUCUGCGCAGGAAAAGAAAAAAUAGAAUUGUCUAGGCAAU